Molecule: transfer RNA, 71 nt
Filed under: Apaloderma vittatum (bar-tailed trogon)
Lineage: Eukaryota; Metazoa; Chordata; Aves; Trogoniformes; Trogonidae
Rfam family: tRNA
About the family: Transfer RNA (tRNA) molecules are approximately 80 nucleotides in length.
Source: Rfam by way of RNAcentral
GGACUUAGCUCAGUCAGUAGAGUGUAGCACUAACAACGCUAAGGUUGCGGGUUUGAUUCCCGCUUGGUCUC